GGGCCGACCGCGGGGGGGCGCUGCGGCCUGCUGGACCGGCCGGCGCCCGCGCGUCCGGUGACCUGCGGGCAGGGGCGCGGCUCCCGGCCUCCGCGCCGGGUGGGCGGCGAUUUGCUGCAUGUAAAGAAUAACAGCUGUGGUUUGUGGUUUUUGUUUUGUUAUAGCAAAAAUAGCUCACGCUCUUUGAUGAUACUGAAAAAUACAGGAAACUAAAAAUCACCUUUCACCCCAGCACCUGGUGAGAUGAGCAGGUCUAGGAGAAAAUGUGGGAGACUUUCCCUAUAGGAGCCAGAUCAGUUCUUGGUCCGUAAUGGGUAUAUGGUCCCUGUGCAAAGUUGCCCAGGACUGUCUCCAGACUAUCUCCAGAAUAUCCAAGAGACUCAUAUUGGUGGCUGCCUCUAGGCAGGGGUCCUGAAGGUUUGUGUAGAGUGGGAGACUAGACUUUUCAAUGCUGUUUUGCACCAUUUGAAUUUUCUCCUUUGUUUGAAUUUUUGGUACCAUGACCCAAUUUUUAAAAACCACUUAACAUGUCACAAAGCAUGACAGAAAAGGCACUAGAAAAGUGAGUCCCACAAAGAAGAUGCUGUGCAGCAAUAGGCUUAGAGAAGCAGAAGGAUUUUGCAAACAUGUGAUAAUUUUCUCUUCUUUUCUGCCAGGGCACUGGGGUCACACCAGACCCGGUUAAGCAAGCCCAGAGCUUGAUAUGUACAAUCCAGAGCCCGGGUAUUCCUUUUAUGGGGAGUGGAGCUUUCCCCAGCCCGGAACUAUCAUUGUAACCAAGACCUGGCUGGAUGGGAGGAGUCAAUCCUCUUAUGAUAUGAUUGCAAAUAUUUAUUUUAGCUUAUUUUUGUUGAUUAGCUUUUUUUU
This is a long non-coding RNA of Mustela erminea (ermine), 867 nucleotides long. RefSeq lists it as uncharacterized. Lineage: Eukaryota; Metazoa; Chordata; Mammalia; Carnivora; Mustelidae. The transcript is spliced from 3 exons. The record is from RefSeq and is a predicted model, not a curated record.